This is a long non-coding RNA of Scleropages formosus (Asian bonytongue), 503 nucleotides long. RefSeq lists it as uncharacterized. The transcript has 3 exons. The record is from RefSeq and is a predicted model, not a curated record. Lineage: Eukaryota; Metazoa; Chordata; Actinopteri; Osteoglossiformes; Osteoglossidae.
UUGGUCCAGAUAGACCCUGUGCACGUCUGCAGUGACGGUUGAGUCUAAAAUGUCAUGCACUGGCACGCAAGAUUACUCCUCAGCCCUACCAGUCAACCAAAUACAUUGUGCCUCUGGAUCAUUUGGAGUCCAGCAGAACCUGGACAGAAUGUGCUGGGGAACCAUCUAUGUCCAAAGGUGGAGGAGCUGAGACUGACGGACUCUGCAGGGUGACUGAAGACUGAGUUUCACCUUUCAUUCCAUAACCUGAAAUGACUUUAAGGGGACUUGGGAAAGUUUUACCUCCGGGUUUUUCCAUUCUUUUAUUAUUUUGCAUUUUUCUAUAUGCAUUUUUAUGGCAGCAGCUGGGGACACAUGCUGUUAGAAAGUUUUUCCACCCGAAUGUAGUGACAACUUACUUCACUUCACCUGAGAGUAAUGACCAACAGAUGAAUGACAAAUUGAGCUUGUUUUCGUGGAGACACGGCGUCAAACCAACCCCAGGUAUGAUGCUGAACAUGCCC